AGCAGGCGCGCAAAUUACCCAAUCCCGACACGGGGAGGUAGUGACAAUAAAUAACAAUACGGGGUUCUUUAGGAUCUCGUAAUUGGAAUGAGUACAAUUUAAAUCUCUUAACGAGGAACAAUUGGAGGGCAAGUCUGGUGCCAGCAGCCGCGGUAAUUCCAGCUCCAAUAGCGUAUAUUAAAGUUGUUGCAGUUAAAAAGCUCGUAGUUGAAUUUCGGGGUUAGNAGGUUGGUCAUGCCUCUGGUAUGUACUGGUCUCACUGAUUCCUCCUUCCUUAUGAACCGUAAUGCCAUUAAUUUGGUGUUGCGGGGAAUUUGGACUGUUACUUUGAAAAAAUUAGAGUGUUUAAAGCAAGCUAACGCUUGAAUACAUUAGCAUGGAAUAAUGAAAUAGGACGUUCGAUCUUAUUUUGUUGGUUUCUAGGAUUAACGUAAUGAUUAAUAGGGAUAGUUGGGGGCAUUAGUAUUCAAUUGUCAGAGGUGAAAUUCUUGGAUUUAUUGAAGACUAACUACUGCGAAAGCAUUUGCCAAGGAUGUUUUCAUUAAUCAAGAACGAAAGUUAGGGGAUCGAAGACGAUCAGAUACCGUCGUAGUCUUAACCAUAAACUAUGCCGACUAGGGAUCGGAUGAUGUUAAUUUUUUAAUGACUCAUUCGGCGCCUUACGGGAAACCAAAGUGUUUGGGUUCA
This 687-nucleotide ribosomal RNA is filed under the name uncultured Glomeromycotina. Its description in RNAcentral is "SSU rRNA". It matches the Rfam family "Eukaryotic small subunit ribosomal RNA", at positions 427 to 1115 of the family's 1831-position model. The record is from RNAcentral. Lineage: Eukaryota; Fungi; Glomeromycota.